UACGUAGGGGGCAAGCGUUGUCCGGAUUUAUUGGGCGUAAAGAGCGUGUAGGCGGCCAAGCAGGUCCGCUGUGAAAACUCGAGGCUCAACCUCGAGAGGUCGGUGGAAACCGUUUGGCUAGAGUCCGGAAGAGGAGAGUGGAAUUCCCGGUGUAGCGGUGAAAUGCGCAGAUAUCGGGAAGAACACCCGUGGCGAAGGCGGCUCUCUGGGACGGUACUGACGCUGAGAUGCGAAAGCGUGGGGAGCAAACAGG
RNAcentral lists this ribosomal RNA (253 nucleotides) under uncultured bacterium. RNAcentral's name for it is "partial 16S ribosomal RNA". It matches the Rfam family "Bacterial small subunit ribosomal RNA", at positions 524 to 776 of the family's 1533-position model. The record is from RNAcentral.